Molecule: ribosomal RNA, 468 nt
Filed under: uncultured bacterium
Lineage: Bacteria
Description: partial 16S ribosomal RNA
Rfam family: Bacterial small subunit ribosomal RNA
Source: RNAcentral
GACGAACGCUGGCGGCGUGCUUAACACAUGCAAGUCGAACGGAAAGGCCCUGCUUUUGUGGGGUGCUCGAGUGGCGAACGGGUGAGUAACACGUGAGUAACCUGCCCUUGACUUUGGGAUAACUUCAGGAAACUGGGGCUAAUACCGGAUAGGAGCUCCUGCUGCAUGGUGGGGGUUGGAAAGUUUCGGCGGUUGGGGAUGGACUCGCGGCUUAUCAGCUUGUUGGUGGGGUAGUGGCUUACCAAGGCUUUGACGGGUAGCCGGCCUGAGAGGGUGACCGGCCACAUUGGGACUGAGAUACGGCCCAGACUCCUACGGGAGGCAGAAGUGGGGAAUAUUGCACAAUGGGCGGAAGCCUGAUGCAGCAACGCCGCGUGCGGGAUGACGGCCUUCGGGUUGUAAACCGCUUUCGCCUGUGACGAAGCGUGUGUGACGGUAAUGGGUAAAGAAGCACCGGCUAACUACGUG